AACGCACAUUGCGCCCCCUGGCAUUCCGGGGGGCAUGCCUGUCCGAGCGUCAUUUCUGCCCUCAAGCGCGGCUUGUGUGUUGGGUGUGGUCCCCCCUGAUCUUUUAGGGGGGACCUGCCCGAAAGGCAGCGGCGACGCCCCGCCCAGGUCCUCGAGCGUAUGGGGCUCUGUCACCCGCUCGGGAGGGGCCUGCGGGCGUUGGUCACCCUAUCAUUUUAAAUUUUACGGUUGACCUCGGAUCAGGUAGGAGUUACCCGCUGAACUUAA
Molecule: unclassified non-coding RNA, 267 nt
Filed under: uncultured fungus
Lineage: Eukaryota; Fungi
Description: partial contains 5.8S ribosomal RNA, internal transcribed spacer 2, and large subunit ribosomal RNA
Source: RNAcentral